This is a long non-coding RNA of Oryctolagus cuniculus (rabbit), 418 nucleotides long. RefSeq lists it as uncharacterized. Lineage: Eukaryota; Metazoa; Chordata; Mammalia; Lagomorpha; Leporidae. The record is from RefSeq and is a predicted model, not a curated record.
CGCGGCGCUGAGCUUAGCUCGAGGUCGCGACAGCAGUGCCGGGGAGGCGGCGGGAGCCCCAGAAAAAGGGAGCGGGCCGGGGCACCGCCCUCCCAUUGGCUGAGGGGCCCGCAAAUUACCCGGAGCCGCGGGGCCGGAUCCGCUGCUAGGAUGGGAACAGUAAUGCAAUGAAGCACUAGGAAGAAGUUCGGCAUCUGGCCUUGGGAAAAGCCUGGAGAGAAAUCUUGGCAGUCAGUUCCCUUACGGGCUCAGAAAGCUCUUGCCAGCAGGGAAACUGGGCUGCUCUGAAGACGAUUCCAGUUCCAACUAACAUUCUUGGACCUUCAUGUUGCAGACCAGGGAGUGAACGAGGUGCCUGCCUAGAGCAGACAACCUUUUCUUCUGCUCCGCCAGGUUCCAAAUAAACACUUGAGCCUUU